RNAcentral lists this transfer RNA (75 nucleotides) under Minisyncoccota bacterium. RNAcentral describes it as "tRNA-Thr". It matches the Rfam family "tRNA". Rfam says of the family: Transfer RNA (tRNA) molecules are approximately 80 nucleotides in length. Their secondary structure includes four short double-helical elements and three loops (D, anti-codon, and T loops). The record is from RNAcentral. Lineage: Bacteria; Bacillati; Minisyncoccota.
GCCUGGAUAGUUUAGUGGCAAAACAAACCCUUGGUAAGGGUUAGAGCGCGGGUCCGAUUCCCGCUCCAGGCUCAA